GAUGAACGCUGGCGGCGUGCCUAAUACAUGCAAGUCGAGCGAACAGACGCGGAUCUUGCUCCUCUCACGUUAGCCGCACAGGUGUGUGUAACAUGUGUAUCACCUACCUAUCAGACUGGUAUCACCUCGGGACUCCGGCUCUAAUACCGGAUGAUAUCUUGAACCACGUUGUUCAUUAGUGAGAUACGGUUUUGCUGUCACUUAUCGAUGCAUCCCCGCCGCAUUAGCUAGUUGGUACGGUAACGGCUUACCAAGGCAACGAUGCGUAGCCGACAUGAGAGGGUGGUAGGCCACACUGGAAGUGAGACACGGCACAUAGGCCUACGGGAGGCAGCAGUAGGGAAUCUGCCGCAAUGGGCGAAAACCUGACGGAGCAGCGCGGCGUGAGUGAUGAAGGUCUUCGGAUCGUAAAACUCUGUUAUUAGGGAAGAACAAAUGUGUAAGUAACUAUGCACGUCUUGACGGUAACUAGUCAGAAAGCCACGGCUAACUACGUG
This 497-nucleotide ribosomal RNA is filed under the name uncultured bacterium. RNAcentral's name for it is "partial 16S ribosomal RNA". It matches the Rfam family "Bacterial small subunit ribosomal RNA", at positions 28 to 507 of the family's 1533-position model. The record is from RNAcentral.